GUGUCAGCAGCCGCGGUAAAACGUAGGAGACUAGCGUUAUCCGGAUUUACUGGGCGUAAAGCGUGUGCAGGCGGUUCGGCAAGUUGGAUGUGAAAUCUCCCGGCUCAACUGGGAGGGGUCGUUCAAUACUACCGAACUUGAGGGCAUCAGAGGAAGGUGGAAUUCCGGGUGUAGUGGUGAAAUGCGUAGAUAUCCGGAGGAACACCAGUGGCGAAGGCGGCCUUCUGGGAUGCUCCUGACGCUCAGACACGAAAGCUAGGGGAGCGAACGGGAUUAGAAACCCCGGUAGUCC
Molecule: ribosomal RNA, 292 nt
Filed under: uncultured bacterium
Lineage: Bacteria
Description: partial 16S ribosomal RNA
Rfam family: Bacterial small subunit ribosomal RNA
Source: RNAcentral